ACAGCAGUCGCCGCGGUAACACGGAGGGGGCUAGCGUUGUUCGGAAUUACUGGGCGUAAAGCGCACGUAGGCGGCUUGGUAAGUUAGAGGUGAAAGCCCGGAGCUCAACUCCGGAAUUGCCUUUAAGACUGCCGAGCUAGUAGGUGAGAGAGGUAAGUGGAAUUCCGAGUGUAGAGGUGAAAUUCGUAGAUAUUCGGAAGAACACCAGUGGCGAAGGCGGCUUACUGGCUCAUUCUAGACGCUGAGGUGCGAAAGCGUGGGGAGCAAACAGGAUUAGAUACCCCUGUAGUCCCUGUCUCUUAUAC
Molecule: ribosomal RNA, 305 nt
Filed under: uncultured bacterium
Lineage: Bacteria
Description: partial 16S ribosomal RNA
Rfam family: Bacterial small subunit ribosomal RNA
Source: RNAcentral